AGUAGGGCCUGCCCACUGAAUAUUUAAAGGGCCGCAGUAUCUUAACUGUGCAAAGGUAGCAUAAUCAUUAGUUUUUUAAUUGAAAGCUGGAAUGAAUGGUUUGAUGAAAAAAUUUCUGUUUCAAUAUUAUUUUUUUAGAAUUUUAUUUUUAAGUUAAAAAGCUUAAAUAUUUAUAAAAGACGAGAAGACCCUAUAGAGUUUAAUUAAUAAUUAAUUUUUUUAAAGUAGAAUUAAUUUUAAAAGAUUUAGGUAUUAAUUUGAUUGGGGUGAUUAAAAAAUUAAUUAAACUUUUUUUAUAUUAUUACAUUUAUUUAUGAAUAUUUGAUCCAUUAAUAUGAUUAAAAGAAU
This 348-nucleotide ribosomal RNA is filed under the name Scymnus podoides. RNAcentral's name for it is "partial 16S ribosomal RNA". The record is from RNAcentral. Lineage: Eukaryota; Metazoa; Arthropoda; Insecta; Coleoptera; Coccinellidae.